GCGAGCUCGGGGGGCAAGCGCGGCACUCCCCGCUAGAGCGCAGGGGUGCCCCCAAGCUUCUGAGGCCCGAUCCUGGUGCGGGUCCAGCUUGGGCUCCGCUGGCGGGACGCAUCCUGGUGAUUCAUGCACGUUCGCCGCAGACAUCCUAGGAAGCGGCGCACGCAAGGGCCACCCCAAGACAGCGGCCCCCAAAGUCGCCCUUGCUUCGCCAUCUCGGCGCACGCGGUCCAGCCGUUCCGGGGCUCUCGCUGCCGCCGAAGCCGGCGGUGGAGUUGCGCCACCCCAGCAAGCCUUCGUGGGCCCUGUUCGGUCUGGAUGACAGGCUGGAGCUGGAGAGCUGGAAUGUUCUGCGCGCAGGCGUAGGAGGUGCUGUCUAAGGCCACCGCAUCGGUUGCUGGCGCGAUGGAGGGCGCUGACCCGCGAGGUCGUCUCAGCCGGCUAGGAACUCAUGGCGAUCUCUCGGAGCAAGUCGGAGUUCCUGCGGGAGCUGCAUCACCGCCAAAGGGUCGGGUCGUCCGGCGCCUAGGGGGCAGAGGGCUCUCGCUUAGCACCUCGACGCCCCAAUGGGAGCUAGAUGCGGCUCAGUCUGCAAGGGACGCGGCUGCAGAAGAUACGGCUCGUGAGCGAGCGCGCGCGGAUGAGGCGGAGGCGUGGCUCCGAGAGCUGCACAUCUCUUCUGGCGCGUGGCAGCGAAGGGUCGCCACCACCUCCGAUUGCGUCGCUGAGCUAAAGGAGUAGCGUUUGGACAUAAAGGAAGAGCUCGCCGAACUCCGCAUUGCGGCCUAGGGGCUUGGUGACUACAUUUCUAGGCCGAGCUGGGGGUAUUCCAAUGAACUGAUUGAGCGGCUCCAUGCGGCUCCUCUGCGGGUCGAUGAGCUGAUCUCCGAUGGGGAGCGGCUGCCGCCGCCUCCCACUACGACAAAGUGCAUCUCGAGGUUGUGGGCAGCGGCUGCAACCCCACGUGGUGCAAGGGCGCGCUGCUGGAGCUUGGCACCGCUGCGGGUCCGCACGCCUUCCUGCUAGACGAGAAGAUCUUGCCAUCUGAUGCCAUCAACCGCCGGAUCGGCCAACCCUAGGAUUCAGCUCCUGCGUGGGCUUAUUUUUGCUUGCUUGUGUCGGACAAAACAAG
This is a long non-coding RNA of Panicum hallii, 1129 nucleotides long. RefSeq lists it as uncharacterized. The record is from RefSeq and is a predicted model, not a curated record. NCBI's taxonomy places the organism in Eukaryota, Viridiplantae, Streptophyta, Magnoliopsida, Poales, Poaceae. The transcript has 3 exons.